UUAAGAUGGACUGUGAAGAGGCUGAAGAGGUGGUUCAGUGGUUAUGAGUAUUUCAUGUUCUCUCAGGGGACUUUAGAGAUCUGCUCCCAGCAUGCACUCCUGCUGCUCACAACUGCCUGAAACUCCAGAUCCGGAUGAUCCAAAAAUUUUCCUGGCCUCUACAGACACCUAGCAUGUGUGUGCGUGCAGUGCACACACACACACACACACACACACACACACACACACACACACACACACACAUACCUAUAAAACAAUGGGCUAGGGAAAAUGUGCAGCUUUUGGAAUGCAUAGAGGCCAGGAGGAAGACAAAGGAACAAUUGUAGCAUAAGGACAAAGCAAGGCAAGGUGAUCAAGCAAGGGCUUUAAGGAUACUGAGUCUGCAUUUCAUUGGAUCUCCUGUAACCUGGAGCCUACUCACAAUACACUUUGAAGAAUCUACCUAAGAGACUUCAAGAGACUAUCUGGCUUAGACCUUGGUCUUCAGGGACCUGGCACUCCCAAGUCCUAGGCAUCUACAGCUUUUAGCUUCUACCUCACACUCUGAAACACUGCUUCAACUCUAAUGAAGGCAAGUACAUUUCUGCCAUCAGAAGGGAAAACAGCAAAGGGCGAGGAGGGAGUGAUGGAAGAAGUGGUGUAUUAACAAGAUUUGAUGUUGCACAGGAAUGAACAACAGGAAGACUGGUGAGGCAGAGCUUUCCAGAGGACUCAGAAGGCACAGAUUCCAGGCUGCUGCCUAGGAUCCCAUGAUUCCAGGCCCCCUCCAACCUCUGGGGUGCAUGUUUUAUUGCUGCCUGUCCAGGGGUCCUCUUCAUUUUCUCCUCUUCCAGUGACUUCAUUCUCUGUGCCAGUGAAAGCCAAGGAGCUGGGUUUUGUGUGCCAAGGAGCACAGCUGGGGCGACCCUGCCUUGGCUAAGCUUCCUGUGCCUGAAGAGAGAAAGGAACCUACGAAGCUCAGCCGGGGCUCUGGACAAGUUCCUGUGCCUUGAAGUUGCUAUCUAUGAGAUUGUGGUUAUGUGGAGAAAGAAAACAGAGCUGGAGAGCUUGAUCUGGAUAGCUGACCUGGAUUUUUCAGAAGCAGAUAAUGAAAUCUAAUAUAUUUUGGUCAGGUCAAUGAUAAGAGGUGAGAUUAUUAUGUGUCUUCUGGAACUAAUCCCUAGGUUGUAGAGUUUUGACCAAAAAUGUAAUGACAGAAAGUCAGAGAUCCUGAUGAAUAAGAAUACUCUGCAUUUGAAAAGCACUGCUGUUGACUAAGUCUACCCAUGCACUCAGCCCUAAAUGCACUGCAUGCUUUAUACAUUGCCAUAAUGCUUCAGGAUUUAAAAAACAAACAAACAAACAAACAAACAUUUUAAAGGUAAGAAAUAGAGACUCUGAGAAAUAGUGUAGCUUGCCCAAGCC
Molecule: long non-coding RNA, 1404 nt
Organism: Mus musculus (house mouse)
Lineage: Eukaryota; Metazoa; Chordata; Mammalia; Rodentia; Muridae
Product: predicted gene 12707
Exons: 4
Source: RefSeq, a predicted model, not a curated record